Molecule: transfer RNA, 61 nt
Filed under: Dipodomys ordii (Ord's kangaroo rat)
Lineage: Eukaryota; Metazoa; Chordata; Mammalia; Rodentia; Heteromyidae
Rfam family: tRNA
About the family: Transfer RNA (tRNA) molecules are approximately 80 nucleotides in length.
Source: Rfam by way of RNAcentral
AGGAAGGUAGCUCAGUGGUAGAGUACUUGCCUUGCAUGCAUGAGGCUCUGGGUUCUUUCUA